AAGUUUAAGUUAAUUAUUUAAACCCAGAGCCUUCAAAGCCCUAAAUAGGGUACGCCACCCUAACUACCG
This 69-nucleotide transfer RNA is filed under the name Pachydactylus kobosensis. RNAcentral's name for it is "tRNA-Trp". Lineage: Eukaryota; Metazoa; Chordata; Lepidosauria; Squamata; Gekkonidae. The record is from RNAcentral.